AGAGUUUGAUCCUGGCUCAGAUUGAACGCUGGCGGCAGGCCUAACACAUGCAAGUCGAGCGGAAACGACUUAACUGAACCUUCGGGGAACGUUAAGGGCGUCGAGCGGCGGACGGGUGAGUAAUGCCUAGGAAAUUGCCUUGAUGUGGGGGAUAACCAUUGGAAACGAUGGCUAAUACCGCAUAAUGCCUACGGGCCAAAGAGGGGGACCUUCGGGCCUCUCGCGUCAAGAUAUGCCUAGGUGGGAUUAGCUAGUUGGUGAGGUAAUGGCUCACCAAGGCGACGAUCCCUAGCUGGUCUGAGAGGAUGAUCAGCCACACUGGAACUGAGACACGGUCCAGACUCCUACGGGAGGCAGCAGUGGGGAAUAUUGCACAAUGGGCGAAAGCCUGAUGCAGCCAUGCCGCGUGUAUGAAGAAGGCCUUCGGGUUGUAAAGUACUUUCAGUUGUGAGGAAGGGGGUGUCGUUAAUAGCGGCAUCUCUUGACGUUAGCAACAGAAGAAGCACCGGCUAACUCCGUGCCAGCAGCCGCGGUAAU
RNAcentral lists this ribosomal RNA (537 nucleotides) under uncultured bacterium. Its description in RNAcentral is "bacterial SSU rRNA". It matches the Rfam family "Bacterial small subunit ribosomal RNA", at positions 8 to 524 of the family's 1533-position model. The record is from RNAcentral.